RNAcentral lists this ribosomal RNA (384 nucleotides) under Meloidogyne javanica (root-knot nematode). Its description in RNAcentral is "partial 16S ribosomal RNA". The record is from RNAcentral. Lineage: Eukaryota; Metazoa; Nematoda; Chromadorea; Rhabditida; Meloidogynidae.
AUUAUUUUUUUAGAUUAUUUUUUAUUGUUGAAAAAAUUAAAAACAAAUUGUUUUUUACAAUAAUUAAAAUUUAUAAUAUUCAAUUUUUAAUUUUUAGUUUUAAAUAAAAAUUACAAAUAUGAAAAAUAAAAAAAUUUUGUUAUAAAUUAAAUUAAUUUAUUUAUAUUAAAAAUAUUUUUUAUAAUUUUUAUUUUUUUUUAUUUUUUUAAAAAAAAAAUAAUUUAAUUAUAAUUAUUUAUUUAAAUUUAAUAAUUAAAUAUAAAAUUUUUUAUUAAAUAAAUUUAAUAAUAAAUGUUUUUUAAAUUCUUUGAGGUUUUGAUUUUUGAUUUUUUGUUUCUGCUCAUUGUUAAAGAAAAGCACUUUUAGCGUGAUUGGUCAAAGGUA